UGAAUACGAGGCACUAAGGUGCUGAAGUAGUGUAUGUCAUACUUCCAAGAAAAGCUUGCACUAUCGUAAGAUAAAAAUGCCUGUACCAUAACCGACACAGGUGGGUAGGUAGAGUAUACUAAGGGGCGCGAGAUAACUCUCUCUAAGGAACUCGGCAAAAUAACUCCGUAACUUCGGGAGAAGGAGUGCCUUAUUCUAUAAGGUUGCAAUAACAAGAUCCAAGCAACUGUUUAUCAAAAACACAGGUCUCCGCUAAGUCGUAAGACGAUGUAUGGGGGCUGACGCCUGCCCAGUGCCAGAAGGUUAAAGAAGUCGGUUAGCAAUUGCGAAGCUGGUAACUGAAGCCCUGGUGAACGGCGGCCGUAACAAUAACGGUCCUAAGGUAGCGAAAUUCCUUGUCGGGUAAGUUCCGACCCGCACGAAAGGCGUAAUGAUUUGGAUACUGUCUCGGAGAGGGACUCGGUGAAAUAGACUUGUCUGUGAAGAUGCGGACUACCUGCACCAGGACAGAAAGACCCUAUGAAGCUUUACUGUAACUUGAAAUUGAAAUUGGACUUUAUUCGCGCAGUAUAGGUGGGAGGCGUUGAUUAUAAUCUUGUGGGAUUAUUGGAGCCAUUAGUGAGAUACCACUCUUGUAAUGUUAGAUUUCUAACUUUGAAUCAUGAUCUGGUCAAAGAACAGUUUCAGGCGGGCAGUUUGACUGGGGCGGUCGCCUCCUAAAUGGUAACGGAGGCGUACAAAGGUUUCCUCUGAACGGGUAGAAAUCGUAUCUAGAGUGUAAAGGCAUAAGGAAGCUUGACUGUGAGACCUACAAGUCGAGCAGGGACGAAAGUCGGUCUUAGUGAUCUGACGGUACUGAGUGGAAAGGCCGUCACUCAACGGAUAAAAGUUACUCUAGGAUAACAGGCUGAUCUCCCCCAAGAGUUCACAUCGACGGGGAGGUUUGGCACCUCGAUGUCGGCUCAUCGCAUCCUGGGGCGGUAGUACGUCCCAAGGGUUGGGCUGUUCGCCCAUGAAAGCGGUACGCGAGCUGGGUUCAGAACGUCGUGAGACAGUUCGGUCCAUAUCCGGUGUAGGCGUUAGAAUAUUGAGAGGAGCCUUCUUUAGUACGAGAGGACCGAGAAGGACAUACCUUUGGUGUACCAGUUAUCGUGCCAACGGUAAACGCUGGGUAGCUAUGUAUGGAGUGGAUAACCGCUGAAAGCAUCUAAGUGGGAAGCCCACCUCAAGAUAAGUAUUCUC
This 1242-nucleotide ribosomal RNA is filed under the name metagenome. Its description in RNAcentral is "bacterial LSU rRNA". It matches the Rfam family "Bacterial large subunit ribosomal RNA", at positions 1564 to 2815 of the family's 2925-position model. The record is from RNAcentral.